Molecule: long non-coding RNA, 230 nt
Filed under: Elaeis guineensis (African oil palm)
Lineage: Eukaryota; Viridiplantae; Streptophyta; Magnoliopsida; Arecales; Arecaceae
Description: long non-coding RNA (EGUI_LNC071258)
Source: RNAcentral
AUCCUAUAGCUACUUUUGAAGGUCAGAGAACUUCUGCGACCAGUCUCGAUCACGGUCGGCUUGGACUGUGAGCUAGGACGAGCUCCCUUCCAACUGAUCGAUCUUCUCCCGUGCGGCCGUCAGCUCGACUUCAAGGGAGCUAAUCUUGAAAGCCUGAGCCCAAGAUCGAUCACUGGCACAUUUUCGGAGUUCCUCGAGCUCCGUCACGAAGUCAGCCUUCUUUCGGGUGA